This 490-nucleotide ribosomal RNA is filed under the name uncultured organism. RNAcentral describes it as "bacterial SSU rRNA". It matches the Rfam family "Bacterial small subunit ribosomal RNA", at positions 56 to 527 of the family's 1533-position model. The record is from RNAcentral.
UGCAGUCGACGGAACGACGAAAUAAUCCCUUCGGGGUGCGUCUUCGGGCGUCGAGUGGCGGACGGGUGCGUAACGCGUAGGAAUCUACCUUAUAGUGGGGGACAACUCGAGGAAACUCGAGCUAAUACCGCAUAAUCCUUACGAGGGAAAGCAGGGGAUCUUCGGACCUUGUGCUAUUAGAUGAGCCUGCGUCGGAUUAGCUUGUUGGUAGGGUAAUGGCCUACCAAGGCAACGAUCCGUAGCUGGUCUGAGAGGACGACCAGCCACACUGGGACUGAGACACGGCCCAGACUCCUACGGGAGGCAGCAGUGGGGAAUAUUGGACAAUGGGCGCAAGCCUGAUCCAGCAAUGCCGCGUGUGUGAAGAAGGCCUUAGGGUUGUAAAGCACUUUCAGUAGGGAAGAAAUGCGUGUAGCUAAUAACUGCGCGUCUUGACGGUACCUACAGAAGAAGCACCGGCUAACUCCGUGCCAGCAGCCGCGGUAAUACG